RNAcentral lists this long non-coding RNA (1674 nucleotides) under Cinara cedri. Lineage: Eukaryota; Metazoa; Arthropoda; Insecta; Hemiptera; Aphididae. The record is from RNAcentral.
AAUUCUAAAUUUUUUAUUGUAUUUAACACUUUAAGGUCAAGUAAAAACUUAAAAAAUGCAUUCAAUUAAAAUUGUUUUUAUUCCAGAUUAAGAAAAUAGCAAAAAUUCACAUAAAAAUGUUUAAGGACUAUUCAAGAAAAAAUAAAAUUUUUUAUUAUUAUAAAAUAUUGAAUGAAUCUUGGUAAAAAUAGUUCUUUAUUGCAUUACUCCGUUUUAAAAUGACGCGUGACAUCACAGGUUAAAACAUUGAUUGGAUGCCUGCCUAUUUCAAUACACGCAUUUCCUCGACACAUCUAUAGUCAUUUAUUUAAACAUUAACUUAAAAUACUCAAAAUGAAAAGCUAUUUUCAUAUUACAAAAAGCUUAGAUACUUUAUUAUAACCUAAUACCAACAUCCUAUUAUAAUAAUGAAUAUUAAAAGCAGAAAAAGUUAAUUUAUCCAAAAUAGACUCAUAUUUUUGUUUGUUCAUGUACCAAUACAAACAAUAAUAGUACAAAUGCAAUGCAGUUUAUGGGUUUUUCUAAAUUCGUUUUAUUUUGUUAUAUAAUAAUAAGUAGGUAUUGCAAUUUGUUGCAAAAUAUUGGAUUGCGUAUUGUUUCAAUAUACAUUCAUUAUCAUGGAUCAAACAUUGUGUUUUAAAAUGUUUUUAAAACCAUGAAGUUUUGAGCCAAAUGUUGGUGAUGGAUUUGAACACAAUUAUUCUAUAUCCUUAUGUUUAGUUUGAAUUCAACAUGACCUUGACAAAUUUUCGGAAUGGUGUUUCAAAAAUAGUCUUUCAAUAAAUGCCGGGAAAUGUUAAUGUAUUUCUCUCUCUAGUCAAAAGAAUAAAUCUAUCUUUCCUUAUGAUAAAUGUUUUUUCCUUAAAUUAUACUACUUCUAUUUGUGAUUUGGGUGUACUAUUGUUUUCAGACUCAUCAUUUAAUACCCAAAUCGAUAUAAUAUAUAGUAAAGCAUUACAUGUUUAGGAUUUAUUAAACAUAAUUGUUUUGAUUUUAAAAAUAUUAUAUGUUUAAAGGUUUAUAUACCAUUCCCUCGUUAGGUCAAUCUUAAAAUUCUCAUCAGUUGUUCAGAAUUCUAAAUAAAUUAGUUUAAUUGAUAAACUUGAUAAAAUAUGUUGUUUUUUGAGAUAACAGCUUUUAAACUAGGAAAGACUAAUGUGGGUUUAGACAUUAUUACUAUAGAACUUGGUCUUGAAUCAUUAUCUUCUAGAUGUUUAUAUAACGAGGUAGCUUUUAUUUAAAGGUUAAUUUCUGGGCUAUUAAUUUGCCUAGAAUUCUUAACCUAGAGAUUUUAAUAAAGCUAGUGUAAAUUAGAUUUAUUUUUUUUCUAUUAAGUUUUUCACAUCUGCUUAUAGAUGGUAAGGUAAGAGAAGUGUUCCCACAUUUUGUUUUUUAAAUAGUAUGAUAAACAUUAGAUUUUAAUUUGAUCACUACUUUUGUGUCUGGAAUAAGUUGCUCGUGUAAUACACCAAACUCAUUGGAAUCAUCACUUUUAAAAUGGGAUGAAUAAAUUCUAUUAUUUUUUUCCUAGCAUAAAACGUUUACAUUUACAAACAUUAACCCAUACUUUAUAUCUUUUAGGAGUUGUUCGCGUUUUGAAAACCUAUAAAAAGGAUGUUCUGAUUUUCUUCUUUGUUGCUAUAACACACACAACCGAAAACCAAACACAACAUU